RNAcentral lists this ribosomal RNA (617 nucleotides) under Salmonella enterica. Its description in RNAcentral is "partial 23S ribosomal RNA". It matches the Rfam family "Bacterial large subunit ribosomal RNA", at positions 1119 to 1735 of the family's 2925-position model. The record is from RNAcentral. Lineage: Bacteria; Pseudomonadati; Pseudomonadota; Gammaproteobacteria; Enterobacterales; Enterobacteriaceae.
UCAUUUAAAGAAAGCGUAAUAGCUCACUGGUCGAGUCGGCCUGCGCGGAAGAUGUAACGGGGCUAAACCAUGCACCGAAGCUGCGGCAGCGACGCUGAUGCGUUGUUGGGUAGGGGAGCGUUCUGUAAGCCUGUGAAGGUGGCCUGUGAGGGUUGCUGGAGGUAUCAGAAGUGCGAAUGCUGACAUAAGUAACGAUAAAGCGGGUGAAAAGCCCGCUCGCCGGAAGACCAAGGGUUCCUGUCCAACGUUAAUCGGGGCAGGGUGAGUCGACCCCUAAGGCGAGGCCGAAAGGCGUAGUCGAUGGGAAACGGGUUAAUAUUCCCGUACUUGGUGUUACUGCGAAGGGGGGACGGAGAAGGCUAUGUUGGCCGGGCGACGGUUGUCCCGGUUUAAGCGUGUAGGUGUGUGUUCCAGGUAAAUCCGGUUCACUUUAACACUGAGGCGUGAUGACGAGGCACUACGGUGCUGAAGCAACAAAUGCCCUGCUUCCAGGAAAAGCCUCUAAGCAUCAGGUAACAUCAAAUCGUACCCCAAACCGACACAGGUGGUCAGGUAGAGAAUACCAAGGCGCUUGAGAGAACUCGGGUGAAGGAACUAGGCAAAAUGGUGCCGUAACU